UUUUUUUUUUUGUUCAGAAAGCAGACACUGUUCAAGCCUGGAAAGCUUAUCCAUUGAUCUUAACCUUUUCCUUCACAAAAUAUAUGAAAAGAAAGCAAAUCAUGGAAUCUCAAAUCUGCAGUUCUACCUCUGCUAUUUUAUUAUUCCUUGCCUCCUUCAGAUAAAGUACCUAAGUUUCAGAAGUCAUUACUCUUAAAUUCAAGCCAUAGAAACACACCCAUCUUCCUAAGAGUUUAUCAGCAUUUUGCAAAGUAGCUGGAUACAGCAAGUACUUUAAAAACCACAGUAAAUUAGCCAGUCAACUUCCAAAUAUUACACAUAAUUGCUAUCUGACAGCUUUCAGGGUAGACAACAACCAAAGUCAGGUUUCCUGACUAUAUUUUCCUCUAACUUACUAAGUUAUAAUUCAAGGUCACAAAACAACAGCUUAGGAUAUGCAUGCCAUUAAACAGAAAGCAAACGUCAUCAAAUACAUAACUCUUAAAAGUUGCUUCCUUAGUGCACCAGAAUAUAUGCUACAGAAAUAUAAAGACAUGAGCAAACAAAGACAAAAUAAUACUAUUGAGUAUUUAAAAGUCUUCAACUAAUAUGUUUCCAAUAGCACUGUUUUCUAGGAAAUCAAACAAAAGGUGCUUAAUGAACAGUGAAACUGUGAUAAGUCCUUUCUAAUAAAAUAGGCAGACUGUUGACCGGGGUUUUGGUGGGUGGUCUGUGGGGGAUAGGAACGUGGGGUUGAUAAAGACAGGCCUUAAAGGCAGGACUGCAUGGCUGGCAAGCUUUGCCUGUUGCUGCCUAGGUUGAGCCAUGCUGCAGCCGCCCCCACCACUGCACUCUCUGGAUCAGAACUGGAAGGUACCUUGAUGUCUUUGCUUAUAGGAUCGGACAGAUGAAGGGCUGGUUACCUGCCAGGAAGUGAAGACCAUGGUUAAGAGUCCUCUACGCUAGGUUCUUACAGUCACCAGCUACUAGAUUCUUGGCUACAACAUUUCUCACCAAGAGCAGUGUCCUUGGGAGAAAUCUAAAGAGGGAUGAGAAAGGGGUUAGGAAUAAAACUGUCUCCUAGAGACCGGGUCAGAAUACACAAUGGUUUUAACUUCACAAUAAAGUGACAAGGUAUACUUGAAUAAGCCACCCUGAUAUACGGAAAGCACUGGGCACAGAAGUAACUUUCCCAUUGAAUCGGGAGUUGAUCCCAUAAACUUUAUUAUUAGCCAAGUUUAUAUUUAUGAACAUUUUACACACACUACUCAGCUAUAUAUUAAAGAUAAAAAUUGAGAAAAUACCUAUACUUUGGUAAGCCGUAUCUAAAGCCAUUUCUCUUUUCAACCUAGUUGUUCAUUUCACCAGUGGGCAAAAAUCAUUAUUUUUAAAGGUUUCCAAUGUAAGAGCACAGACCACUCAGCUAUCACAGCGCACUAUAGUUUAGCACACAAAGGUGAGUUCCAGAUGCAGUUCAGGGAUGGUCUGAACCUUUGAACAAGGGCAAAUCCAAGCACUCUAACUCCUGGUUGCCUGCUCUAUCCCUCAUCCAUGCCGCCUUUUUUAAGCAUCCAUAUGGAUUAGUGAAUCACAUUUCCAAAUCUAUGCUUGCUUAGCAUAAUCUCUCAUCCAGAAUUCCCCUUUGAAUUUGAGAUCCCAUAUCUAAG
Molecule: long non-coding RNA, 1646 nt
Filed under: Macaca fascicularis (crab-eating macaque)
Lineage: Eukaryota; Metazoa; Chordata; Mammalia; Primates; Cercopithecidae
Description: lncRNA (ENSMFAG00000050378.1)
Source: RNAcentral